GACGAACGCUGGCGGCGUGCUUAAUACAUGCAAGUCGAACGGAAAGGUCCUGCUUUUGUGGGGUGCUCGAGUGGCGAACGGGUGAGUAUCACGUGAGUAACCUGCCCUUGACUUUGGGAUAACUUCAGGAAACAGGGGCUCAUACCGGAUAGGAGCUCUUGCUGCAUGGUGGGGGUUGGUAAGUGUCGGCGGUUGGGGAUGGACUCGCGGCUUAUCCGCUUGUUGGUGGGGUAGUGGCUUACCAAGGCUUUGACGGGUAGCCGGCCUGAGAGGUUGACCGGCCACAUUGGUACUGAGAUACGGCCCAGACUCCUACGGGAGGCAGCAGGGGGGAAUAUUACACAAUGGGCGGAAGCCUGAUGCAGCAGCGCCGCGUGCGGAAUAACGGCCUUCGGGGUGUAAACCGCUUUCGCCGUAGACGAAGCGUGAGUGACGGUAAUUGGUAAAGAAGCACCGGCUAACUACGUG
RNAcentral lists this ribosomal RNA (468 nucleotides) under uncultured bacterium. RNAcentral describes it as "partial 16S ribosomal RNA". It matches the Rfam family "Bacterial small subunit ribosomal RNA", at positions 28 to 507 of the family's 1533-position model. The record is from RNAcentral.